AGUGAUUCUCAGGAUGGGCAGCUUGCUGAGAGAGAUGGCUAUUGAGAAGGCACUUGUUUUUGCCAGACUUUGGCAGCUCUGAAUGCUGCAGAAAAGGAUGCUGAGCAGCAGGAGUGACAGGCAGCAGUGUGCUGCUGGGCACAGAUAUGAGAAGCUGAUCUGAUCUGAGCAUCAGUCACUAACGGCUGAGGUCUGGGAGCAGUCAGUGUCAUGCUGUGGUGUUUGGGCAGCACGCAGUGAGGCGGAGGAGAUACCAUCACCUGAUGCUGCACCUGGAGAGACACUGGGCCAUGCCAUGAGAACGUGGUGCUGGCACUGCCUGAUGCUGUAUGUGGUGUCACCCACCAUGCCCUGGAAGAAUGUAGGUCUUAUUCAACUCUUUUUGGCAGAAGAAAGAGGAAGAUGUGUCAGGCUGAAGGUGCUCCGGGAUAAGGACUGUGAUGUUCCUGCGACCUGGAGAAUUACAGAGGAAUUUCUCCAUGGCCCAGAAGGCACUGACCUCAUUCCUCCACCCUCCCACACCCAGCAGUUUACAGGUUCAUUGGGAAAGAUUAAGGUUGCUGGCAGAGCCCUGGGCAGCAUGGGAAGAGACAUUAUAGUCAAGCAUGGAUUAGAGCUGUCAACAUGAGGUGCUGCUCUUCAGCUGGAUGCUCGCUGUGGCUCCAGAGAUGGGCACAGCUGCUACAUUGGGCUGUGGUGCAGAGCUGGUUUGCUGACACCAGCCUCCUGAGCUACAGGGGCCACCCAUGCCCAGGUCCCAGCAGGGAUGCUGGGGUGCCCUGUGGUGGCUGCUGUCCCCAGGCAGUGUCCUGCAGCACCCUGGCUAGCUGGGGACGGGGCGAGGGUGAUCACAGGAAGCAUUGUACUACUGAGCUCAUUUCCACCAGGACCAAGGGUUCAUUAGGAGUAAAAAUAACCCUGGAAAAAACAGAGCCAAAACCCUCUCAUUGACUGCCUCAGUUGUUGGGGCUGAAUUUGGCCAGCCAGGGAUUUGCCCCUCCCUGUGCAGCCCUUGCUUCUUCAGUGCCCACAAUUGUAAUGAUACUACCAGGACCAGAGGGACCACCCUUGACACAUCGGAAUGUUUGUAUUGCCCUGCUUAUGUCUGCUUCUUAAGGAACAGCCUUUGCCAUUUCUAAAUCACAGACAUUGUGUCAAUCUUCUGAAAAAGAUGGGAUCUUACACAGAAGAACAAGACAAGGGCUUCUGAACUAAAUCUAGCUCUGCCUUCGUGCUGUUCCUCUUGAGCUCUCUUGGACAUUUCUUGCAGUCUUGCUGUUUGAAUAAGGAACUCUUCCAUCUCAUUUGCAAAUAUGCUUUGUGCAGUAAAUAGAGCUCUAGGAUCAGCUGAUUUUUCAGUUUCGUUGGUGAACAAACAAAAAUCAGAGGAAAACAAGUUAGCUCAGACUAAAGAGAGCGUUUUUCCCAAAGUUGCAUUGCAGAACAGCAACAGCAAAGAGGAUGAACUAGACCCAAAACAGAGACUUAUUUAGCUCAUUUGGAGAGCAUUCAUUCUUCUUUUUCACCAUUUUUCUCAAGAGCAAAACAACAACAAGAAAAACAAUAUCAAGUUUCAAAAUAAAAAAAAUGAUGGUUCUAAAAGAUUGGGCA
Long non-coding RNA from Phasianus colchicus (ring-necked pheasant), 1611 nucleotides. The record is from Ensembl. NCBI's taxonomy places the organism in Eukaryota, Metazoa, Chordata, Aves, Galliformes, Phasianidae.